This 339-nucleotide ribosomal RNA is filed under the name uncultured bacterium. Its description in RNAcentral is "partial 16S ribosomal RNA". It matches the Rfam family "Bacterial small subunit ribosomal RNA", at positions 338 to 674 of the family's 1533-position model. The record is from RNAcentral.
CCUACGGGAGGCAGCAGUGAGGAAUAUUGGUCAAUGGACGCGAGUCUGAACCAGCCAAGUAGCGUGCAGGAUGACGGCCCUAUGGGUUGUAAACUGCUUUUAUACGGGGAUAAACUGAGUCACGUGUGUCUUGUUGAAAGUACCGUAUGAAUAAGGAUCGGCUAACUCCGUGCCAGCAGCCGCGGUAAUACGGAGGAUCCGAGCGUUAUCCGGAUUUAUUGGGUUUAAAGGGAGCGUAGGUGGGUUUUUAAGUUAGUUGUGAAAGUUUGCGGCUCAAGCGUCGAAUUGCACUCUAUACUGGCUGGCCUGAGGACUAUUGAGGUAGGCGGAAUUCGUGGU